This 497-nucleotide ribosomal RNA is filed under the name uncultured bacterium. Its description in RNAcentral is "partial 16S ribosomal RNA". It matches the Rfam family "Bacterial small subunit ribosomal RNA", at positions 28 to 507 of the family's 1533-position model. The record is from RNAcentral.
GACGAACGCUGGCGGCGUGCCUAAUACAUGCCAGUAGAACGCUGAAGAGAGGAGCUUGCUCUUCUUGGAUGAGUUGCGAACGGGUGAGUAACGCGUAGGUAACCUGCCUUGUAGCGGGGGAUAACUAUUGGAAACGAUAGCUAAUACCGCAUAACAAUGGAUGACACAUGUCAUUUAUUUGAAAGGGGCAAUUGCUCCACUACAAGAUGGACCUGCGUUGUAUUAGCUAGUAGGUGAGGUAAUGGCUCACCUAGGCGACGAUACAUAGCCGACCUGGGAGGGUGAUCGGCCACACUGGGACUGAGACACGGCCCAGACUCCUACGGGAGGCAGCAGUAGGGAAUCUUCGGCAAUGGGGGCAACCCUGACCGAGCAACGCCGCGUGAGUGAAGAAGGUUUUCGGAUCGUAAAGCUCUGUUGUAAGUCAAGAACGGGUGUGAGAGUGGAAAGUUCACACUGUGACGGUAGCUUACCAGAAAGGGACGGCUAACUACGUG